RNAcentral lists this transfer RNA (73 nucleotides) under Camelus bactrianus (Bactrian camel). It matches the Rfam family "tRNA". Rfam says of the family: Transfer RNA (tRNA) molecules are approximately 80 nucleotides in length. Lineage: Eukaryota; Metazoa; Chordata; Mammalia; Artiodactyla; Camelidae. The record is from Rfam by way of RNAcentral. RNAcentral also lists the same sequence under 2 other names.
GAAGAUAUAGCUCAAGUGGUAGAGUGCAUGCUUAGCAUGCGUGAGGUCCUGGGUUCAAUCUCCGGUACUUACU